RNAcentral lists this ribosomal RNA (1362 nucleotides) under Triticum aestivum (bread wheat). RNAcentral's name for it is "partial small subunit ribosomal RNA". The record is from RNAcentral. Lineage: Eukaryota; Viridiplantae; Streptophyta; Magnoliopsida; Poales; Poaceae.
AUGGCGCUGAUCGGCAGCGACGACACGGCGGCGGUUCUCGGCGAACUGCGCCGCAGGAAGAACGAGGACGACCCUGACCAUUUCCACCAAUACGAGGUCGACGCCGCGGGCCGUCUCAAGAGGCUCUUCUGGGCCGACGCCGACGCGCGCGUCAGCAGCUGCGGCCGCAGCGAUGACGUCGUCGUCAUCGACCCCGCGCUCGGGACGAACAGGUACGGCGCGGCAUUCGUCCCCUUCCUCGGCAUGAACCACCACCGCCGCCCCGUGCUCCCCGGCUGCGCCGUCCUCGCAGACCAGUCCCCCGACUCGUAUGUCUGGCUGUUGCGGGCCUUCGUGAUGUCCAUGGGCCAGGGGAGGCCCAAGUCCGUGAUCACCGACGGCGGCGACGCGCUGGUCCACGCCGUCGAGACCGUGCUCCCGCAGCCCAACCACCGGAUCUGCUCGUGCCACCUGGAGGAAGGCGUCAGGGAGCACCUCGGCGGCUGGUCGGCCCAGGACGGCUUCAGGUCGCUGAUGUUCGAGGACAGUUGCUCGCCGGUGGAGUUCGAGGAGCGGUGGCGCAGUUUCGUGUCCAGCCACAGGACGGCGAGCAACCAGGAGUGGCUCUGCAGGAUGUACGUGAAGAGGGAGCUUUGGGCCGCCGCCUUCGUGCGCGACAAGUUCUUCCUCGGCAUGCCGAGAGACGAAGACGAGGACACGGAGUGCCUCUGCCUAUCUUCGGGCCUGCGCACGAGCUUCUCCGAGGACAUGACGCUGCUCGCCCUGCUCCAGCGCGCAGACUCCAGGGGCAACUGCAUGCGCGGGCAGGAGGCCGAGCUCGACGAGGAGGCCGACGAGUCACGCGUUGAGCUGACCACCGAGCACAAGUGCCUCGAGGAAGACGCGGCACGGUCCUUCACGCCGGCCAACUUCGCAAUCGUGCUGGAGGAGAUCGAGGCGCUGGAGGACUUCGAGAUCAUCGACACCCUGAGCAGCAGCUCCGACAGCUCCGCCCACAAGGUCUACACGCUGGAUCUCCACGGCGACCUCUUCAGCGUGUUGCAGUCCCACGACCGCGCCAACGACGACAAGGAGACGCACUCGAGCGCCGUCUUCAAGUGCAGCUGCCGGAAGAUGGAGCGCGACGGCUUGCCAUGCCGGCACAUCCUCCACGUGCUGCAGCACGAAAAGGCGUCCUCCAUACCGAAGUGCUGCAAGCUGGGAUGGCUGCUGCGGCGGGGUGACACAAGGCACGAGAGGCUCGGCGAGAUGGAGGCGCUGGGGCGGAAGGUGUUCGACCUGGCGUCGCAGGACGCCGAGGAGUUUGAGGAGAUCAAGGAGUUCUUGCAGGACUGGCUGCAGGAGAGGGAGCUAUCUUCUUGA